RNAcentral lists this ribosomal RNA (465 nucleotides) under uncultured bacterium. RNAcentral describes it as "partial 16S ribosomal RNA". It matches the Rfam family "Bacterial small subunit ribosomal RNA", at positions 28 to 507 of the family's 1533-position model. The record is from RNAcentral.
GACGAACGCUGGCGGCGUGCUUAACACAUGCAAGUCGAACGGAAAGGCCCUGCUUGCAGGGUACUCGAGUGGCGAACGGGUGAGUAACACGUGGGUGAUCUGCCCUGCACUUCGGGGUAAGCCUGGGAAAAUGGGUCUAAUACCGGAUAGGAGCCAUUUUUAGUGUGAUGGUUGGAAAGUUUUUUCGGUGUAGGAUGAGCUCGCGGGCUAUCAGCUUGUUGGUGGGGUAAUGGCCUACCAAGGCGGCGACGGGUAGCCGGCCUGCGAGGGUGGACGGCCACAUUGGGACUGAGCUACGGCCCAGACUCCUACGGGAGGCAGCAGUGGGGAAUAUUGCACAAUGGGCGCAAGCCUGAUGCAGCGACGCCGCGUGGGGGAUGACGGCCUUCGGGUUGUAAACUCCUUUCGCUAGGGACGAAGCUUUUUGUGACGGUACCUAGAGAAGAAGCACCGGCUAACUACGUG